This 494-nucleotide ribosomal RNA is filed under the name uncultured bacterium. RNAcentral's name for it is "partial 16S ribosomal RNA". It matches the Rfam family "Bacterial small subunit ribosomal RNA", at positions 28 to 507 of the family's 1533-position model. The record is from RNAcentral.
GACGAACGCUGGCGGCGUGCUUAACACAUGCAAGUCGAACGGUGAAGCGCCUUCCUUUUUGGUGGGUGUGGAUGAGUGGCGAACGGGUGAGUAACACGUGAGUAACCUGCCCCCUUCUUCUGGAUAACCGCAUGAAAGUGUGGCUAAUACGGGAUAUUCUGGUUCUGUCGCAUGAUGGGUCUGGGACAGAUAUUGUUUCGGUGGGGGAUGGGCUCGCGGCCUAUCAGCUUGUUGGGGGGGUGAUGGCCUACCAAGGCGGGGAGGGGUAGCCGGCCUGGGAGGGUGGACGGUCACACUGGGAGUGAGACACGGCCCAGACUCCUACGGGAGGCAGCAGUGGGGAAUAUUGCACAAUGGGCGAAAGCCUGAUGCAGCGACGCCGCGUGAGGGAUGGAGGCCUUCGGGUUGUGAACCUCUUUCGCCAGUGAAGCAGGCCUGCCUCGUUUGUGGGUGGGUUGACGGUAGCUGGAUAAGAAGCGCCGGCUAACUACGUG